Bombus pyrosoma is the source of this 2553-nucleotide RNA transcript. It is a transcript of the gene named periostin-like, with no coding region annotated. The transcript has 13 exons. The record is from RefSeq and is a predicted model, not a curated record. Lineage: Eukaryota; Metazoa; Arthropoda; Insecta; Hymenoptera; Apidae.
GCAGUUCAUAGAGCAGAUGUACAAUACAAGAGUAAGUUAUCUGUCACCUCGAGGGACUGUUUAAUAUUUUGCUACACAUGCGUAACAAGAAAUCGUGAAUAUAAAAAAAUGUGUAUUUCGUAGAAGUGAACUUCGCCGUUGAAGAUAGUGUUAUAAAAAAAUUGAUAAAUAUGAAUGUCGAAGGCGCUUCAAGGUCAGUCGUAUCCAUCAUUCAAAAUUUGUAUUCUGAUAAAAUUGCAUAUUAAUGUGCAAUACGUUGCUAUGCAAGUCUUAACAUAUGCAAAAUUCAUUUACCCGAUGCAAAUGAUUUCUAAAAAUUGAGAAGUGCAACAUGUACUAGAUUUCUCAAUAUCAAUUCACGUAGAUAACAUCGAAAUCCAUUUUAACAGAUAUAUUUCCCAGAUGGGAUGGGAGAACAUAGCCCUUAAAAUACGAAGCAUUUCGAACCGAGUCACUCUCAGAUGUUCUGUUCGACCAAGCAAGUUACGCUUGUGCCGCGAGUCUUUUCAUUUUAUCGUGCCAAUAUUUUCAUCAUAGUGAAAACAUGUUCAGUGAAAUUAUAACGAAAAUAUUCAUAUCAUUAACGGUGUUUAAUAUAGUUUAUGCGUAUCAAGGAAAUUCUUGGUGGAAGGUUGAUAAUUCGCAAAGACAAGGACCUAACGUAUGCGCCGUAGAAGUAAACGAUGACAUAAGCUAUGCUUAUUACACUGAAAGCAAACAGUGGAAUCCUCGAAAAAUUUGUGGCAAGCCUACAUUCGUAAGAUACGAAUGCUGCGCAGGAUAUUAUAGAGUUCCUGGGUAUCUUGGAUGCACAGGAGUAAAACCAUUAAUAAAUCUCAUAGAAACAACGCGACGAGUGGGUGCUAUGAAAUUUGCAAAAUUAAUCGAAAGUUCGUCCUUCGCGGAAGAAUUGAUCGGUGGACCACCCUUAACAUUAUUCGUACCAUCCGACGAUGCUUUUGAUCACUACUUAAAAGUAAAAGGUAUUCACCAAGAAUACGACGGUAACAGAUAUGUAAAUUUAAUCGCGAAUCAUAUAAUAGACAGACGCGUAUUAUCAAAUCAAUGGCAAGCAAAUCUUUUAAUUCCAUCGCGAUUACAAGGAAACGUUUUAAGAAUCAACAAAUUUUCCAGUGGAAUGGAAACAGUGAAUUGCCAUCGAAUUAUUCGCAAGGAUCAAGUUGCCACUAAUGGAGUUGUGCAUGUUAUCGACGGAGUUUUGGAUCUUGCUUUGGCACAAAAUUCAGACAUAAUUGAGCUCGCUUCUAGGGACGGUAGAUUCGAAAUAUUUACAAAAGCCCUUAAAAAUAGCGAGUUAGGAAAUAGAAUUAGAUUCAGUGAAAUACCCUGUACUAUUUUUGCACCCACGGAUCAAGCUUUUCAUCAUAUUCCUAAAAGACAAUUGACCGAUAUGUUGGAAAACCCGACAGCAUUAAAUGCAUUAAUUGCUCAUCAUAUCGUAACGCAUCCUGUAUGCGUGCCAAAUAUAAUUUCGGAAUAUCAUGCAAGCACGAUGCAACGACAAGAACUAAAAUUAAAUUGCGGUCCGUAUGGACCCAUCGUAGACAAUGUAAAUAUAAGAAAUGAAAUGUAUCAUGGAAAAAAUGGAUUACUUUACGUUGUUGAUCGUGUGUUACUUCCGGAUCGAGCUAAAACUAUCUUGGAUGUGAUCAAGGAGGAAGGAUUAUUUAAAUUUUUAGAAAUAAUUAAAACAGCUGAAUUGGAAGAAAGUUUGAGACAUUUGAAACACUUCACAAUGUUUGCUCCCUCUGAGACAGCAAUGUAUUCUCUAUCAAAUCAGAAACUUGUAGAAUUGCAAAGAAAUCAAAAGAGUGCUCGGAACUUUGUUCUUAAUCAUAUAGUUAGGGGAACGUAUUUCACCGAUGAAAUUAGUAGCAAUCAAAUCGCUAGAACGCUUGAAAUAGGAGUUCCAUUACGCUUCCAAGUUUAUCGUGGUAAUUUUGGAAUAGAGAACGCAUUAAUUAUGAAAGCUGAUAGAGAAUGCAGCAAUGGCGUUUUACACGUUAUAAGUCACAUUUUACAUCCUGCAGAAGAAUCUUUAGAUUAUAUUUUGAGAAAAGAAGGCAAUUUCAGUAUUUGGUUAGACGCUAUGGAAAGAAUUAAAGGCAUUCAACCACAAAUGUAUGACCAAUUUAAGCGCGCGAAUUCUUCGUGUACAUAUUUCGUUCCUUCGGAUAAAGCAUUUAAACAGCUAGGAAAUGCCAAACUUCAAAAAUUAUUGGAAGACAGGAACUAUCUAACAAAGGUUUUUUGUUGUUCACUUUCAGACACUACAAAAUCAUAUUGUGGAUAAUAUGUUACUUGCUGAAAGCUUCAUGCCAGAUUUACAGUAUACCGUCAGAACUAAAGGAAACCCGAUAAAUAUUAUGAGAAAAAAUAACAGGAUUUUGGUAAAUGAUGCCACUCUUGUAAAGAGCGACAUUUUGAAUAAAGCUGGAGUUGCACACGAGAUAAACUCUGUAUUACUACCUGAUCAGUGUCCUAAUGGUCACAGAAGAAUACACGAUGGACCAUUUGUAAGAAAAGCUUGUC